RNAcentral lists this transfer RNA (71 nucleotides) under Phrynosoma platyrhinos (Desert horned lizard). RNAcentral's name for it is "tRNA-OTHER". The record is from RNAcentral. Lineage: Eukaryota; Metazoa; Chordata; Lepidosauria; Squamata; Phrynosomatidae.
GCCAGCGUAGCACAGUUGUUUGAGUGUUGGAUUAUGACUCUGGAGACCAGGGUUCGAGUCCCAGCUUGGCC